Armillaria novae-zelandiae is the source of this 105-nucleotide non-coding RNA. The record is from the annotation of a GenBank genome assembly. NCBI's taxonomy places the organism in Eukaryota, Fungi, Basidiomycota, Agaricomycetes, Agaricales, Physalacriaceae.
UGCCCCAUGGCUGAGUUGGUUACAGCGUCCGACUGUUAUCGCUAAUCGCGUAAAGGAUGUACUUACUUCAUCGGAAGGUCGAGAGUUCGAGCCUCUCUGGGGCAG